UUUGACCUCAAAUCAGGUAGGACUACCCGCUGAACUUAAGCAUAUCAAUAAGCGGAGGAAAAGAAACUAACAAGGAUUCCCCUAGUAACUGCGAGUGAAGCGGGAAAAGCUCAAAUUUAAAAUCUGGUAGUCUUUGGCUGCCCGAGUUGUAAUCUAGAGAAGCAUUAUCCGCGCUGGACUGUGUAUAAGUGUCCUGGAAUGGAUCAUCAUAGAGGGUGAGAAUCCCGUCUUUGACACAGACUCCCAGUGCUUUGUGAUGUGCUCUCAAAGAGUCGAGUUGUUUGGSAAUGCAGCUCUAAAUGGGUGGUAAAUUCCAUCUAAAGCUAAAUAUUGGCGAGAGACCGAUAGCGAACAAGUACCGUGAGGGAAAGAUGAAAAGAACUUUGGAAAGAGAGUUAAACAGUACGUGAAAUUGCUGAAAGGGAAACGCUUGAAGUCAGUCGCGUUGGCUGGGGAUCAACCUUGCUUUUGCUUGGCUUACUUCCCAGUUGACGGGUCAGCAUCAGUUUUGACCGGUGGAUAAAGG
Molecule: ribosomal RNA, 526 nt
Filed under: Termitomyces sp. K1O
Lineage: Eukaryota; Fungi; Basidiomycota; Agaricomycetes; Agaricales; Lyophyllaceae
Description: eukaryotic LSU rRNA
Rfam family: Eukaryotic large subunit ribosomal RNA
Source: RNAcentral